This 64-nucleotide transfer RNA is filed under the name Cavia porcellus (domestic guinea pig). It matches the Rfam family "tRNA". Rfam says of the family: Transfer RNA (tRNA) molecules are approximately 80 nucleotides in length. Their secondary structure includes four short double-helical elements and three loops (D, anti-codon, and T loops). Lineage: Eukaryota; Metazoa; Chordata; Mammalia; Rodentia; Caviidae. The record is from Rfam by way of RNAcentral.
GGGGAUUUAGCUCAGCGGCAUAAGCACCUGCCUUGCAAGCAGGCGGUUGUUUGUUUGAUCCCCG